AUGGGGCAGGGGCUGGGGGAGAAGCCGGAGCCCUUGCCGGGGCCAGCGCUGGGUGCAAAGCAUCUGGGUUUGGAGCGAGGCUCCGAGCUGUGGACGUUGCCUCCCUCCACCUUCCUCCUCCUCCUGGCAGCCCUCCCAGGGCUGCGGGCGGCCGUGCAGCUGGUCGAGUCCGGAGGGGGCCACCAGACCCCCGGGGGGUCCCUGACCCUCCUCUGCAAGGCCUCCGGCUUCUCCUUCAGCAGCACCGGCAUGGGAUGGGUGCGACAGGCCCCCGGGAAGGGGCUCGAGUACGUUGCACGUAUUACCAGCUAUGGUAGCACAUUCUACGCGCCGUCGGUCAAGGGGCGCUUCACCAUCUCCAAAGACAACUCCCAGAGCACGGUCACGCUGCAGAUGAACAGCCUCAAGACCGACGACACGGGCACCUAUUUCUGCGCGAAAUCU
Molecule: non-coding RNA, 444 nt
Organism: Phalacrocorax carbo (great cormorant)
Lineage: Eukaryota; Metazoa; Chordata; Aves; Suliformes; Phalacrocoracidae
Source: the annotation of a RefSeq genome assembly